GCUGGGCAACUGCACCGCCUCACAGGGAAUUGGAAGAAUCUGGGAGCAUGGCUGAUGUUAAAGACAAUGAGCAUAAAGUGAUAAAAUCCCUGAGCGAUAUGUGGGAAGUUCAGCACACGAUUGAUCCUCGUGCGCCGGACUUAAUUACCUCGGAGAGCAUGCUCCAGAAACCAUCAUGGCCCCGUCUCUCGUUUACUGCAGAAGCAUUGCUACAGCAACAGGAAUCUAAAAUAUAUGAAAGUGCUAGUGCUUUAUCCUUAGCAACGUUCGCAUCACUAUUGAUUGAGUUUGUUGCAAGGCUCCAAAAUCUCGUGGAUGCAUUUCAAGAGCUUAGUGAGAAAGCAAAUUUCAAGGUUCCUGUGGACCAAUCACCUCAAAAGGAGGCUCCAGGAUUUUGGAGAAGAUUAAGAAAUUGCUUUCAGUCAAAGAACUAAAUUCUAUAAAAGAAGACAAAAUGACAAAAGAAAAAAAAAGAAAAAGAGAGUGUGUUUUGGAACAUAUAUUUUGGGCUUUUUUGGAAUUAAGUAGGUUCAAAUACAGUUGUUAAGGGAGACAAAAGCUUUUAGAUUGAUUUCUACACUGUUGUAACUUUCCAGAUGCAUUAAAUUUGCAUUGAUGGGAAAGAACCUUCAUAUAGAAAGGCAAAGGGUGAGCUUGGAAACUGAAAUUAUCUUGCACAAAGCUUCUUUUCUUCAAGUUAUUUAUUAAAUAUGUUAAUGGUAAAGCACAGUAAUUGAAGUUUCUGAAGGAAUACAUGGAGAACUGAAAAAACAACAUCCUUUCCUUUCUGAUGGUAAUAAAAGUUCUAUCUAUCUCCAGCUUCGAUCUUUCUCUUUAUCCAAUCAACUCGUUUUCUGAUGUUUCUAGUGCGGGGGAUCUAUUUAUGCGGAAUGAAUGAAUAUAAUUAUUACAUUCCUAAUUUGUUAUAAUAUCAAUUAAUAUAAAAAAUCCAUGAAAAAGUAUAAAUAUAUAUAAACCGAUUUGUUGCGUAGUCAUAUCAAUUACAAAAUAUAAUUAUUUGCUACAAUGCGGACCUUAAAUCUAUUGCUAUGUGUCUUUAAUAAAUAUUUAAAUAAAUAAAAUUUUUUAAUAAUAUGAUCAUAUCUAUUUCUUUUGAUACAAUCUUUAUAACUACUCGUAGCCUUUCUUAAUCUAUAAAUAGGUGGAUAAUGCACUUCAGCGCACUAAAACCUAUUUCCUCUUGCAUUGAUAGUAAUAUACAUACAAUUGAGCUAUAUUAAAAUAAAUAAUUAGGAAGAAAUGAUGGUGGGUUAAGGUGGAUUAUGAAGAAAAUAAUCCACUACCAAUAAUAAUUGAGUUUAAAAGAAAUGAUGAGGUUAAAAACUUUUGGAGGGCCGAAAUAAUAAUUUACCUAUUUCCCCUUCUUCUAUUGGCCCAAAAUCCUCAUUAGUUGGGCUUCGGACGUUUUUGUAAAUGAAAAUAGUUCAUGAGCAAUUGAUAUGAUUCCCAUCACUUCUUUUUAAGAAAAGGAAGAAAUAAAUACAUACAAACAAACGAAAAUACAAAACAUUUCAUUUCUCUUACUUUCUGUUUAUUGGGAAACAGCCGGCGGGAAGGCGUCGAGAUCGGUAACAUUACCUCUCCCCAUUUCUUAGUUUCAUCCCCCUUAGCUAACAUUUUCAUAAAUAACCAUUGGUUCUUUUAGUUAUUAAUUUGGAAUUUUAUCAACCUCCUUCGUCAAUGUUGUUAUCUCCCGAUCUUAGGUGCCGGGUAUUUUCAAAUUUUAAAUUCGUAUUCAAUUUUCCUUGCUUUUCUUUUCUUUACAUCCAAACAAGGCCGUGGUUUUUUAAUUUUUUCCCCUCCUCCAUGUUUAUUUUUGGUUUGUUUACUUUCUGGUGUUGCAUUCCAGUGUUUGUUUGAGAUAUUGUUCUUUGAAGUGAGCUGUUUAUCAACUUUUAUCUGCGUUAACUGCUUGUAAGAUCUAUGAAUACGAUAACAUCACUAAAAAAGUAUUAUUGAAUCUUGAGAUGUUAAGGAUCAAAAGAUGGGACACUAUUACUGUAUAUUUGUAAUUAACGAUAGGUUACGGGUUUUCUUUUCUGUACUAUUGCAGGUAUAACUAGUUAAUUGAAGCUUCCAGACUUUGAAAAAAUAUGUCUAAAUAGCUGUCCUGAUAGAUGAGCUAAAAAAUGAUGACAUCCAGCUUCGUUUAAACUCAAUCCGUAGGCUUUCAACCAUUGCUCGUGCUCUUGGGGAAGAGCGAACCAGGAAGGAAUUAAUUCCUUUUCUGAGUGAAAACAAUGACGAUGAUAAUGAGGUGCUUCUUGCAAUGGCUGAGGAGCUGGGAGUGUUUAUUCCCUAUGUUGGGGGUGUUGAACAUGCCCAUGUUUUGCUGGCCCCUUUGGAAACCCUUUGCAUUGUUGAGGAAACCUGUGUAAGGGACAAAGCUGUCGAGUCAUUAUGCAGAAUUGGAUCUCAGAUGAAGGAGAAUGACUUGGUUGACUGGUUUGUUCCUCUAGUUAAGGUUAGAUGUUCUGUUAUUUUCAAUAUUUAUAUUAAUGCCAUUGUUUUUCAAUACUGUUUAGUGAUAUUUAGCUGCUGUGCACAAAGCUAUAAAUUUGAGCUUAUUAGAUACUUAUUUUAUAUGCCAAAAGCUGUUAAUCAGGUUGUAGUAACUGCAAACAAUGAAUUUUAAGAGCUCAACUUUCAACAACUUAUGAACAUUGCUAAUAUAAAGGACAGUGAAAACAUUAACAGAAAGGAAUUUAAGUAGUAAGGAUAACAUGGUUUAUGCACCCUAAACUUGGUAGCCAUAUUUCUGUUUUUGAUGUUUUAUUUGUUUAUUUUAAAUCUUCAGAGGCUGGCUGCUGGUGAGUGGUUUACAGCUCGAGUUUCAGCCUGUGGGCUGUUUCAUAUUGCUUAUCCAAGUGCCCCUGAGAUGUUGAAAACAUAAUUACGGUCAAUGUACUGCCAAUUGUGUCAAGAUGACAUGCCAACGGUAAGAAGGUCUGCUGCAUCAAAUCUGGGGAAAUUUGCCGCAACAGUUGAAAAUGCUCAUUUGAAGGCUGAGAUCAUGCAGAUAUUUAAUAAUCUUACACAAGAUGGUAAGUGGAAGGGUUAAGACAUGCUUGAUUGAAAAAACCUCUCUACUUGUUUUUUUCUUGGUUCUAGUAAAAGAAUUAGUAGCUGAAAUGAUUUUAUUUGAAUAUGAGUUCUCACAAGAAACUUCUUGUUUUAAAUUGUAUGUCAGAUCAGGAUUCAGUUCUGUUAUUGGCUGUUGAGGGAUGUGCCGCUCGUGGAAAGUUGUUAGAACCCCAGGAUUGUGUUGCACACAUUCUCCCUGUAAUUGUCAAUUUCUCCCAGGUAUAUCCAUAGAUGCUUCUCCUGUUUACAUUUAAUAUUGUGUGAAUUUUACAAAUUAUUUCUUAUCUUCUUUUCAGCAGUCUUGCCAGGCAUCUUACGAAAAAUGGAACUGUUCAUAGCCUCAUGUUAGUUGUUGGCAUGUGUCACUAAAACUCUGUAGCAAGUUUUUAGUGAUUUUUCUAGUGAAUAACUUUCUAAUGUUUCAUGAUCCAUGGAGUAUCAUGUUGAAACCACAUAAAGUUAGGGUUUCAUAAUGUGGAGGUUGAAGUUUAAAAGUUGGUCUUUAAAUUGUGAGAGGAAGACUUUAUUUUGUUGCAUUAGUAAUAUCUGUCAUAUACUGCGGAUUUGACCUAUUUCAUGCUUUAACUAAAAUUUUUUAAUUUAGGUGUGGGGUGAGAAUGCUAUUGAGUGACCUGAGUAUUCCGUUGCAUAUAAAUAAUUCUGUAGUGAGUUCAGGCAUCUUUAGCAGGAAAACAGCUUCUUCUUUUUUUUUUCUUUUAAUUCCACAUGUGCUUAUAUUUGUUCGAUUUUGUGUAAUUAACAGGAUAAAUCUUGGCGUGUGCGUUAUAUGGUUGCAAAUCAAUUAUAUGAACUUUGUGAAGCUGUAGGACCACAGCCGACUAGGUAUUUAUGUACUGCAAAGCUUCUGAUAAAAUAUGCUAAUGCUAUAUGAGGAAAAUUUCCUCUUUAUCAAUGAUAUGUAUCACUAUCUUACACAGUUACAUGGUCAAUUGUUUUCAGCUUGUUGUGUGUGGGCCAGAAAUUGUAUUUCUUUGAUUAUUUGUCAUACUAUCCUAAGGUGGUUUAUGUUUUACUUUUUACAUAUGUUGAUUGUGCUUUCAGGAUGGACUUGGUGCCUGCAUAUGUGCGCUUGCUUCGUGAUAAUGAAGCUGAAGUUCGCAUUGCAGCUGCAGGAAAAAUAACUAAAUUUUCUCAAAUUUUGAGUCCAGAACUUGCAACCCAACACAUUCUUCCUUGUGUUAAGGUACUGAUGUUUAUGUUAAGAAGCUUAUGUUCCUCAAAUGAAAUUUCCUGUUAGAGAAGAAACUGCUGUUUGUUUCAUGUUACAUUAAAUAUUGGUCAUCUUCUUACCUCAAUGCAUUGCAAUACCUUUUUUAGGAGCUGUCGUCGGAUUCUUCGCAACAUGUCCGCUCCGCUUUAGCUUCAGUUAUUAUGGGAAUGGCUCCUGUCCUUGGAAAGGUAAGAACAUAGAGUAAUUCCUUGAUUGGGAAGUACCCUAGGAAAUUCCAGGGUCUGUUUAGUGCUGGUAAUGCAGGACAAACACGUACAAGCUAGAGGUACCAAUAUAAAUUAUCUCCUAUGGGAUUGGACUGAUAGAAGGUCUUUUCAUUCAGUUGUGGUUGUUAUAACAGUUGUCUCAAUGUUCAUGCUGGAUGUAUCAGAAACUGGUUUGAAUUGGGAUUAUUGAAUUUCAUUUGUUGGUCCUUGCAGGAUGCAACUAUCAAGCAGCUUCUUCCAAUAUAUCUCUCUCUUUUGAAGGAUGAAUUCCCUGAUGUGCGUCUUAACAUAAUCAGCAAGCUUGAUCAAGUGAAUCAGGUUAGGUAUAAGUUGGAGCUUCCCUUUGUUUCUAUGUGUGCUGUUCUGCUUAUGUUUUGCAUCCUCGGUUGUUUUUCGUCUGCUCGAGAUUCAGCUUUUAUCCAACUUAAAGCUAUUGAAGCACAAUGGCACCCGGGUCUUCUGAGUGGCUAUUAAUAAUGAAUAAAUUUAAUUUUAGUUACAACUUGUUAAUUGUUAUACAUGCUAUUAUUGCGUUCUACGUGCAAACAUUAUAUUGACAUUAACUGCAUGUUCUCAAGCAGCUUUUUAGGUUUUCUUUUUUCUAUAUAUAAACUGACUCUUUCUCGCAGGUUGUUGGAAUUGAUCUUUUGUCCCAAUCCUUAUUACCAGCCAUUGUUGAGCUUGCUGAGGAUAGACAUUGGAGGGUUCGGCUUCCUAUAAUUGAGUAUAUACCAUUAUUGGCUAGUCAGUUAGGUGUUGGAUUUUUUUAUGAUAAACUUGACACCCUUUGCAUGCAAUGGUUGCAGGAUAAGGUCUGUGUUUUUUUAUCUUGCAUGUGCAAUAGCUAUAAGUUUAAAACAGUUAUUUCUUUAUGUAUUAGUCAUUUUCUUUUUGGCAAUUUUGCUAUAUUUCUGUACUCUCAUGGUUUUAUUAUAUUUUUUUAUUUUCUUAGAACCUUCAUAUAUAUAUAUAUCUAAUGUUUUUCUCUGAGAAGACUGAUACUUUUUGAGGGUGCAUUGACUAAAGACCCGAUAUGAAAAUUUGUAGUUUAUUCACCAUCUAAGGUUUCAUGAAGGGAAAAUAAAUUUUAAAAGAUUUCAAAUGAUUAAACAGUGGAAUUCCUGAUGUUGAUUAGUUUACAAAAUAUCGUUCCUAUCUAAAAUUUUCCAGUUUGAUAUUGCACAAGUAAAAUGGGUGUAAUGCAUCCACAUUUUUUGUUAUGCUUUGUAUCACAUGUUCGUAAAUGAUAUCAGGAAGUACCAAUGCUUUUGGCUUGUGAUUAUUGCUAUUAUUUAGAAGUCUGCAAUCGGCAUUGUAAGUAUUGUUGUAAAUUGACUGGGAACAGAUUUUUUGGCUUCUAUGGGAAAAAACUGGAAAGUCUUUUUUAAUAAGUGAAUGCUUUAUCCACUGUGUUGUUACUAUUAAUUUACCGAUUGCAAAACAAUGAUAUAAUUUUGAUUAAUUUCUAAACUAAGCACUAUUUUUGCAUGGUAUUGUUACAGGUUUACUCUAUUCGAGAUGCAGCUGCUAAUAAUUUGACGCGUCUUGCUGAAGAAUUUGGCCGAGAUUGGGCAAUGGAGCACAUUAUUCCGCAGGUCUGUGCAAUAAUAUUGACAAUUGAUCCUUACCAAGCAAGUAGGAAGUAUUUUCUGAAACUUAUACAGAUGCCUGUGCUAAUCCUUCAGUUUUUUCUUGUAUUAUGAGAAUCCUCAGUGACAACAUAAGACUUUAUGCACUAUAACAUGGUUUUUACAGGAAUUCCCUUCCAUUUCUCAUGUGCUUUGCUUGGUAGAGUAGAUAGAAAAGUAAAAUGAUAGAAAAAUGGAAGAGACAAUGGAAAACAUAAAUUUCUUUCCAUUCUUGGUAGGAAAGAUGCAGAAGUUGGAAGCAAAUAUAAAUUUCUUUCAAUCCAUUACUUUGUAAAGUUUUUAUCUGAAUAUGAUGAAUAAUAUUGUUGAUGUAUAAUACUUAACUCGCAUCUUUUCCCUUUUCUCUCUUAUCCUUUCAAUUUGAAAUAAUGUGAUAUUGUGAAUAAAAGCAGAAUAUUAGUAUCUUUUCCAUUUUCGUUCCGCAGUUUUUUCUAUUACCAAGCGCGUCCUAAAAUCAUUUUCUUUCCACUGUCCAUCAUCUUCCAUCCACCCUUCCACUUUCAUUCUAACAAGCACACGUUGUUCUUUUUCUCUUAAGCCAUGCGUUACCACACUUUGAAGUAGUGAGAUAUGAUGCGAUAGCAUCCAUAUGGAUUUUUGACUCAUUGUUGCAUUCUUUGGCUUGCUAAUAAUUACACAGAGACCUUUUCAUUGUGUUAGUUGCCCCUUUGUUUAAUUUAUAUUUUAAUUGGUUUUUUUGUUUCUUUUGGGCAUCAACAAAGUUGGUUUAUAGUUUUGUUUAACGGGGAAGUUUGGAUGUUAUGUGAACAGGUACUAGAGAUGGCAAACUCUCCACACUAUCUGUACCGGAUGACCAUUCUUCGUUCCAUUUCUAUACUUGCUCCUGUUAUGGGAUCAGAAAUAACAUGUUCUAAACUGCUGCCAGUUGUUGAAAAUGCAUCAAAAGACAGGUUUGUAAACAAAAUCAAUAUGGAAGGUGUAUGUAGCAUUCUGAUAAAGUAUCUGUAAUUGGUGGUCUGCAUUUUGCUUUCUGCAGAGUCGCCAAUAUUAAGUUUAAUGUGGCAAAAGUUUUGCAGUCUCUCGUUCCUAUUGUUUAUAAGUCUGUUAGUAUUCCAAUUUUGAACAUACUUGACCAUCUCUUUCAAUUAGUUCGAGUUCUUCCCUUCCGAUCGCACCUUUCUUUUAUCCUUUUUUAUUGGUUUGUUAUUGUUGGCCAACUGAUUGCUGCAAAUAGGUGGUGGAGAAGACAAUCCAUCCAUGCUUGUUUGAGCUGAGCGAGGACUCAGAUGUGGAUGUUCGUUAUUUUGCUAACCAAGGACUUCAGUCGAUCAAUCAUGCUACGAUAUCCUGUUCGGCCUAAGCCAGAUUUAUUUACCACGUUGCUGGGGGAGCUUUAGAUUUUUGCUUGCUAGGUUUGGUUUUGUCAUUUACUUUCUCCAAUGCUGAUUUUUAGUUGGUUAAAAUAUGCCAUAAAAAUCCCUGUACUCUUAAUAAAUUUGAAAAUUAAUCCUUGUACUUUUAUUUCUAACAAUUUAGUCUUUCUACUUUUUAGAUUUCAAAAUACAAGUCCAAUUGUUAACACUCAGCACUGUCAAAAUUAUUUUUUUAGUUGCAUGGUUUACAAGUAUCUUUUUUUAAUUUCAAAAUAUCACAUCAAUAAAUUUAACUAAAUUAAUAAUUGGACUUGAAUUUUUAAAUCGAAAAAGUAGAGGAAUUAAAUUCUUAAAAAUAAACGUAUAGAGUCUAAAUUUCAAGUUUAUAAAAAUUACGACAUAUUUUAAUCUUAUCUUGUGCCUGUGGCUGGCUUGUAUUUUUUUUUUGUUCAAACACCUGUGGCUGUCUUGUAGAAAGUUACUUUUGGCUACUGAAAAUUUGCGAGACUCACAUCCCAAAUUAAUCUUUCUAAUUUGUGAUUUUUGGUUGAGCUCAUGAUUGAUUAAUGUAAAUAGAAAUAUGACUAUAUUUUGGUAGUUCAAUGGUUUCUGAAUUUGAGACCUCUAAAAACAGUUAAUAAUUGAAACAUUCCUGUUGGAAAAAUAUUUGGACUUUAAAUUUUAUGAGUUUAACGCAUGUAUGUCAUAUGCUAUGAAGUAUAAUAAGGGAUACAAUUAUAUUUACGUGAUAAAUUUACCCACUUAAAUUAAGAAUUGAUCGAUUAAUUUAACAUAAAAUUGGACCGUUCAUUGAGUUUAAUUUCCUAAUUCUUUUUCCAGUAAAUCCAUGUCUAAAUGACUUUUUUUUUCAAUAAAAGCGAAAAGCUAAAAAAAUUUCCAAGGGGUCAUUUUAUUUUUGAAAUAUUGCUUCAAGCUUACUAAAAUGACCUUCAUAACAUAAGACAAGUCUAAAAUCAUAUUCUACGCAUGUUACUUUGUUUGAUAAAAGUGUUUAACAAAUAAUAUUUGAAAAUUCAUUUCCGUGCUUAAUAAAAUAAAAAAAAUCAAUAAUAACUUAGAAUUUUUAACUCUCAUUUCAUUAUAAACUAUAAAUUACUAACCUUUUUUGAUGAAUUAAAAAUUAUUAAACACACUACUGAAAUAAAUUAUUUCAAUUUUUUAUAACAUGAUAAAUUGAUUAUUUAUUAACCGGGCUGUGAUCAAUUGGGCCUUGGGUUUUAGUAGGGCACAAUGUUAAAACGACAAAGUUUGCAAGGGCGGAACGCAUUUGGUAAAUUAGAUCACGUGAUGUGGUAGGUAAUGCUUAAAGAAUUAGGAUGAUUUUAUAAUCUAACAAGUUAUAGUCAAGGCAAGGAAGGAGAGAGACUCUUUCUCUUGUUCAUCACCAAUAAAUUUCUUUCUUUUAUAAAAAAAAAUACAUUCAAAAUUAUAAAUAAAUUAAUACCUCUUCUUCUCUUUUUCUAACAUGAAAAUUAUUUAUUAAAAUAAUCAUUUUAUAAAUAAAAUAGCUAUUUUUUUAAAAACAAAAUCGUUUAAAUCAAAUUUAAAAUUUUCCUUAUUUUUAGUUUCAUUUUAUAAAUUAUAAUUUAUUCAUUAUACGUCUGUCAUCUUUCUUUAGUCCUCAACAAAUUUGUCGAGCCUUGCGAUCGCCUAUGCCCACAACCACCGACACCAAUACCAUUACUCUGAACCCCUAAUUAUGCUUGCCCUCAAGUACAAUCUCAAACGCAACAAGUUCAUUCUGGACAGCAAUCUAAAAAAAUUGAUUCUUACCUUUUUCUACCUCAACAUGUAAUUUUUUAUCCAACUUGACCAUGGUGGUCUUCAUGUGUUUUUCCUUAAAUAAUUUUAUUUUAAUAAAUAAUAUCACAUUAGAAAAUGAGAAAAUAGACAUUAAUUUACUUAUAAAUAUUUAUAGAAUUUUGUAUAUAUUUUUAUAAAAUAUUAUGUAUUUUCAUAAAAAUGAACGUUUAAAUAAUUUAUUUUUAUUUUUUUGAAUUUUAAAAUUUUAAGAAUCAAUGCUAGAUUGACAUAAUGUGUAAAGUUGAGAAUUAAAUUUGUUGAGUUUUUUAGAUUUAGAACCAAAUUGAUAGAAUCUAUAAAUAUUGGUAGGCUAACUUAAGUUUAAUCAAGACUUUAUAUAGGGAGAUCCUAGAGAGUUCAACUAUGAUUAAACUUAAUCACUUAAACAUUAAAUUAAUAUAAUAUUUAUCAAAAUAAAUAUUAAAUUAAAUUUAACAUUAAAUCUUAUUAAAUUAAUAAAAUAUUUAUCUACAAGAUAAACAUUAAAUUAAAUUAAAUAUUAAGAUAAGUAUUAAAUUAAAUUUAAUAUUAAAUAUAUCAAAAUAAUAUUAUUUUUGGAAUAGCUAAUCUAAAAUCAAAUUUUCUAGUAGAAUUCCAGUACGAGUGUAAUUCUUCCACUGCUCAACCAUUGAAGACCCCCUGCCAUCGACCAUUUUUCGGCCACUAUAAUGCCACCGUUGCAACCGCCGACAUCCCGAGCUGGUUCAAUUUCUGCCUAUCCGAUUCGGGCCAGUGAUAGCUCGACCGAUCCGGUCCAACCGGUCGGCCCGGUUUCACAUACCAAGUCUAAUUCGACCAGUUUUGGGUCUUGGUCUUGGAUUUGGGCUUUUAAGCCCAAGUUACGAUCUUAGAUCCAAUUUUCAAGUUCAAUUACCCAUUAGACCGAUUAUUUGUCUUGAAAAUUAAUUUCUAAAAAUAUCAUAUUAAUUUUAAUUAAUUUAAUUUUACUUGAUCAAAAUUAAUUUUCUCAAAAAUCACUUAGAUUUUUAAAAUUAAUUUUUCAAGAAAAUUCUUUAAUCAAAUUCUCUAGUUGAACAAUUCUUAUGACCGCCCAAUUUAAUUUCACAUCAAAUAAAUCGACUCAAUUAAAUUAUUUCCACAGAUGUAGAAGUUUCUUUUGAUUCAAAAGCAAUCUGAUCGAGCUUUUGUUGAGCUAGUGGAGGGACAAACCAGACAUAUACAAUUAAGCUCUAAUAAUUGCAAUUAUAUCCAGAAGCAUCGUUUCGAUAAUUCCCAAUUACUUAAUCAUGGAGUCAGUCUACAAGAAGUAACAUGAUUGAAAACUCCUUAUUGUAUACUCUUUACGAAAGCAAUUCAUCCAACUACUUUGUCCAAUGACCUCGUCAUGUGUGUGUUACCCUCAUAUGAUAUCCUUGAUUCCUUUGAGUUAAAUCCGUUCACUCAAUACAGUCUUAUUUUAUCUCAUUGUUACCAUUGUGUCUUCUUAAUGAUUAAUAUAAUCACUGUUAACAAAUGACUAUGAUAAAUGGCUCGUUUAAGAAUAAGCAACCCGUGGUCACAUUCCAUAUUUAUCAAUCCACACAAUGCCAAUGAGAGGAUCGUUAACUUUUUAAUUGAGUUAUGAAUUCCACUGUUGCUAGUAAAGUCAUGCCAUACACAAGUCAUGUACCCAACAUACCGGCUAUCGGCUCAAUCAUCUCUAGAAUAUAAGCCUCCACUUUUAUCAAAGUACAUGAGUUACAUACGCAUGAUCAGUGACUAACUCAGGAUUUAUGUAAAUCACACCAUGAAUGUCACAAGUGAAUUAAUUCACAAACGAAUUCAGAAUUAAUUCAUCUUGGGUUCAAUCCAAUGUAUAGUUUUGUCAAUGAAUACAUCUAUGUCUCUACCCAUGGAGUCAAUUGCUCUGAUAGCCAAGACUAGCCAUCUCCUCAAUUGGAAUUGUGGACGAAAUAAUAAUCAUUCCCAGCAUUUGAAUCAAAUGCUCACUUUGAUUCUUUUAUAGGAUUACAGACUCGUUAGAUUAUCUACUGAAGUAAGUUGUUUUUCUUGCAAUGUAAACGUUCUUACAAUGCUACUUACCAUUUUUUUGAACUUAGACAAUCAAUGAGCUAAUAUUUGUUUGUUACAAUUUCGCUAUGUAUGCAAAAUAUGAAAGAUAGAAAUACAAAAGAUAUAACAGUGAAAUGUGAAAUUAACUUUGUUUAUUUAUUCAUCGUUCAAAUACAUAGAAAACAAUUACAUGUUUACUACAAUAUGGACACAUUUCCCAACAGUUUGCCUCUUUAAAUUUUUUAAAAGUACCUAGUUGGUACUUGAACUUGUAUUUUGUGAAAAAUAAAAUAAAAUAAAAAUAAAAUAAAGAACACACAAAUUUUACGUGGAAACCUUUUCGGGAAAAAACCACGGGUAGAGGAGAAGAAAAUUCACUAUGUCGAAAAUUUGAAUGAAUACAAGAGGAAUAGACUAUGUCUAUUUAUAGGCUUGUAAAGCCAUAUUCUAGUGGGAUUGAAACACCUUAUCCUAAUCAAUAUAAAAUAGAUGGAGUUUAAUAAGGUUUAAAAAACCUUAUUCUAAAAUAAAAUAAAAGAAGUCUUGUUCUAUAUGGAUUUUACUUUUAUUUUAUUUUCCAUUGUAUUUUAUUUAAAUAAGAAUUCGGGUCACUUAAUUCUAACAAUCUCCACUUUGACACAAAUUCUCAAUGAAUAAGUUCUUCAUCGCGAACUUUUAAUGAACAAGUUCUCCACCUUUUCCAUAAAACCCCUAAAGGGUUUAACUUCAACAAUGAACACCAACCAAGUCUAAGUAAUGCUCAAACUUGGUUAUAGGAAGUGACUUAGUCAUCAUAUCUGCAGGAUUUUCAUGAGUACUAAUUUUGCUCAAACAAUAUCACCACGAGCAAUAAUAUCACGAACAAAAUGAUACCGAAUAUCAAUAUAUUUUGUUCUCUCAUGAAAUGUUUGAUCUUUUGUAAGGAAGAUGGCACUCUGACUGUCACAAAAUAUUGUACUGAUUUGAAGGUCUUCAUUGAGUUCACUAAAUAGUCCCUUUAACCAAAUAGCUUCUUUACAAGUCUCAGUAAUCGCCAUGUACUCAGCUUCAGUGGUAGACAAAGCGACUGUAGUUUACAAAGUGGCUUUCCAACUAAUUGCACAACCUCCGAUUGUAAAGAUGUAACCUGUGAGAGAUCUUCUUCUAUCAAGGUCUCCAGCAAAAUCAGCAUCAACAUACCCUAUGACUCCAUCUUUAGUUCUUCCAAACAGUAAGCAAACAUCAGUAGUGCCUCGUAAGUAUCUUAAAAUCCACUGAACUGCUUUCUAAUGUUCUUUACCGGGAUUUGCCAUGUAUCUGCUAACUGCACUGACUGCAUAUGAUAAAUCUGGACGUGAACAAACCAUAGCAUACAUGAGAGAUCCCACUGUACUAGAGUAUGGAACAUGUGACAUGCACUCAAUCUCAUCAUCUGAUUGUGGAGACAAAGCCGAUGAAAGUCUGAAAUGGGCUGCUAAAGGAGUGCUAACAGGCUUAGCACUCUGCAUAUUGAACCUGCAAAGAACUUUCUCAAUGUACCCCUUCUGACUUAGGUACAAUUUACUUGCUUUUCUAUUUCUAAGAAUCUCUAUACUAAGUAUCUUCUUUGCUGGUCCUAAAUCUUUCAUCUUAAAUUCUCCACUUAGUUGGGUUUUAACCUUUCUUAUCUCUCCUUUAUCUUUUGCUGCUAUUAACAUGUCAUCAACAUAAAGAAGUAGAUACACAAAAGAACCAUCACUAUUUUUCUUAAAGUAAACACAACUGUCUAAACUACUUCUUUUGAAAUCAUGAGAAGUCAUAAAGGAAUCAAACCUCUUGUACCACUGUCUUGGUGACUGUUUCAAACCGUAAAAUGACUUUCUCAGCAAGCAAACAUAGUCCUCUUUUUCUGAGACUAUAAAACCCUCUGGUUGUUGCAUGUAAAUAUCCUCUUCAAGUUCUCCAUGCAAAAAUGCAGUUUUUACAUCUAACUGCUCAAGCUCCAAAUCAUGCAUGGCCACAAUACCAAGUAAAGCUCGAAUCGAACUAUGCUUAACAACUGGAGAUCAAAUACGGUGAGCCUUAACCCCCUAAGCAGUAGGGAAAUAGGCUAGAAAUCACAGAUCUUAUCUCCCUAAGCAGUAGUGGAGUAGAUCAAAUACGGUGAGCCUUAACCCCCUAAGCAGUAGGGCAACAGGCUAGAAAUUACAGAUCUUAUCUCCCUAAGCAGUAGUGGAGCAGAUCGAAGACGGUGAGCCUUAACCGCCUAAGUACUAGGGAAACAGGCUAGAAAUCACAGAUCUUAUCUCUCUAAGCAGUAGUGAAGUAGAUCAAAUACGGUGAGCCUUAACCCCUUAAGCAGUAGAGCAACAGGCUAGAAAUUACAGAUCUUAUCUCCCUAAGCAGUAGUGGAGCAAAUUGAAGACGGUGAACCUUAACCCCCUAAGCAGUAGGGAAACAGGCUGAAAAUUACAGAUCUUAUCUCCCUAAGUAGUAGUGGAGUAGAUCAAAUACGGUGAGCUUUAACCCCCUAAGCAGUAGGGCAACAUGCUGAAAAUUAUAGAUUUUAUCUCCUUAAGCAGUAGUGGAGCAGAUCGAAUACAGUGAGCCUUAACCCCCAAGCAGUAGGGAAACAGGCUAGAAAUCACAGAUCUUAUCUCCCUAAAUAGUAGUGGAGUAGAUCAAAUACGGUGAGCCUUAACCCCCUAAGCAGUAGGGCAACAGGCUGGAAAUUACAAAUCUUAUCUCCCUAAGCAGUAGUGGAGCAGAUCGAAGACGGUGAGCCUUAACCCUCUAAGCAGUAGGGCAACAGGCUAAAAAUUACAGAUUUUAUCUCCCUAAGCAAUAGUGGAGCAGAUCGAAUAUGGUGAACCUGAACCCCCUAAGCAGUAAGGAAAUAGGCUGGAAAUUACAGAUCUUAUCUCCCUAAGCAGUGGUGGAGCAGAUCGAAGACGGUGAGCCUUAUCCCCCUAAGCAGUAGGGAAAUAGGCUAGAAAUUACAAAUCUUAUCUCCCUAAGUAGUAAUGGAGCAGAUCAAGGACAGUAAGUCUUAUCUUCCUGAGCAGCGGUGGAGCAGGCUGAAGAUUACAAAUCAUAUCUCUCUAAGCAGUAGCAGAGCAAAUUAAAACGAAAAUCCCUAUACCCCUAGAGAUGCAGUGGGUUAAAGCGAGGCUACUUGAAAAAGAGAGGCCAAAAGAAGUCAAGACUCAGUGAGACCGGGCAAAAUUGGCCUUUUAAAAGUCUUUGCUCCUUUCUCGUUACACGACAACAAGCAAAGAGGGGUAGCUGUAAGGCCCAAUUUCUACCUGGGCCUAAUCAAAACAGCCCAAAGCAGAAAGCCCAAUUUUCUUAGACCUAGCCCACAACCAUUUUCAGCACCACCAUGCACCCACGUUCUCCACCACUCCUCCACGCUAGCACACCCACGAACGGUUUCUCUCCACACUAUACACACCUGCAAAAUAGAUUAACAACUCACAAAAGUUGACAAUAGAAAGAAAUGACAACAAGGAAUUUGUAUUUUCUUUUUUUAUUUUUUCGGCUAUAAAACCGAAUAGAAUCAAAUGUAUAUGGGGGGUCAUUUAUUUUUUUAUGAAUACAAUAGCAAAGGGAAUACAUUUGAAUAGAAAUCGAUCAAAAAAGAAAAGAAAAAAAUUCAAAAAGGUGAUUCUCAAGUUUUUUUCUUUCGAUUUUUUUCCUCUUCUUGCAUCUUUGUUUCUUUCUUUGCAUGUAAAAACAAAAAGUGAGGGAUAUACCUUCAUAAGUGCGCUGUCGGAGCCUUUUCUUCUUCGUUGCAAUUGAAGCAAAGAAGUGUCUUCAGGGUGGAAAUUAUUGAGGCUUCUGAGCUUGGUUUUAAGGGAAAAAGGAGAGGCCAAAUGAGGGAUAAAAGAAUGGAGGGUUAGGGAUUUGUGUUGAUCUUUGUAGAAAAUGGCAGAUUGCCAUUCAAAUUUUUCCCCCUUUUAGUUUUAAUAAUUAAUGAAACGGUGCCGCUUAAGAAAGAGAGGAACCGAACGUCACAAACCCCACGAUCUGCGUGAUUCUAUUUUUGGGGUAAAUUGUGAAAAUGGUCCCUCCUCUUUUUUGAUCCUUUCAAAUCGGCACAUGGUUACCUUUUUAAAUUUUUCCCAAAAUAUUAUUUCAAUUACAUUUUGGUAUUUGUUAGAACGGUGCUGUUUUGAUGGUGUGGGAAUAUUCGUAUUGUUUCAAUCACUAUUAUUUUAAUUAGUAUUGUUAUUAUUAUUAGUAGUAUUACUACUAUUAUUAUUAUUAUCAUAUUAUUAAAUUAAUUAGCUAAAUACUUAGUCUUUAUUCGUUUGUUUAUUUACUCAUUAUUUUUAUAUAUAAAUUCGUUUUUUCCCCCAUUUCAUUUGUUUAUUUCAAGUUUUACAUAAUAUUAUUUCCAACCCUUAUACAUAUUAUUUAUUUUAAAUGUACUUAUUGUUUAUUUUGAACUUUUUACUUCAUGUGAUUUAUUUUGCUUUUUUAUAUAUGUUAUACAUUACUUUUUUUGGAUUUUGUCAUAUAUUAUUAUUAUUUUUCUUAAGAAAUCAUUUUGUAUAUUAUUGAUGUUCAGAUUUUUUCCCUCACAUUUCUAUUUUUUUAGCUCAUUUAUUAUCAUUUUCGAAUUGUUUUUACACCCAAUUUCGAUUUACUUUUUUUAUUCGUUGUAUAUGUCUUAAUUUAUUUGUCUUCAAUUAUCAUGUUAGUUAGUAAAUAAUGUAUAUUAGGUGACCAUCACAAAUUGUCUUAUUAGUGCAUUCGAUCUUGUUUAUGUGGCAAUUACAUUCACAUAUCAUGGUUUCAAAGUAAAAUACACCGCUUUAAAAGCAAAGUACUCAAUAUUAUUAUUUAAAAGUUUUCGAAAAUAUGGCAAUAUUUUGUGUUUGAAAAUUCGAGAAAUCGUGACCUAACAUGUUGGGUCUCGAUUUACCGUUUGACCAAAUAGCCAAAUACCCUUUUUAAAUUUCGUUGCGUGUUUUGGAAAUCAUGAGGUGAUCUUAGUUUUUGGAUGCUUAAAAUAUCAUAUCCUAACGUGCUGGAUGUGAUAUUUUAUUUCUUUGGAGUGAGUGAAUCUUAAAACCUAACUCAAAUUGUUCACACAUUUUUAAAAGGGACCGUAUUUUAAUGUUUUUCCCUCAAAUUUUCAAUGAUAGGACAUUAAAUAGUCAAUUGGUACCAAUUUUGGGCGUUACGAGGGUACUCACCCUUUCUCGUGCGUAACUGACUCCCGAACCCUUUUUCUCGAAUUUCGUAGACCUAAAAUUAUUGUUUUAAUAAAUCAAAAUGUUUUAUUAAAAUGAUUAAUCUCAAGAUGAUCCGAUCACACCUCGAAAAAGAUCGGUGGCGACUCUAUACCCCGUUUUAAAAAGUCGAUUCCUGUUUUCCAUUAAAAAUGGUUUCAACAGGGCUAAUUAGAAUUUGAUUAGAAUUAAUAUGCCAAUGUUAUAAAUAUUAGGGUUAUGGUCCCCAAAUUACAUACAUGAUAUCUUUUCUAAUAUUCCAUCAUUAGGAAAGAGUAGAUAAUAGAGAGCACAUAUUCUCUGAAUUUCUUGUGUGCUAUUUUGGAAGAUCAAAUCCCCAAAAUCGGGUAAAACUUCAAGAAAUUCAUAGAUUCAGGUACGCUUCCGCAUCUAGUUUUGUUCUUAAUUUAUUCUUGAUGAUUAGACAUGAUAGAUCCUAGUUUACAGUUCUAAUUCUAUAUUACAUAUUAUUUAAAAUUCUAACAAGUGGUAUCAGAGCUUUGCCAUGUUGAAUCAUUAAGAAUGAAUUGAUUCUUUAUUAAUUUUGGAUUGAUUCGUUUUUCUUUUUUAAUUUUAUGGAUUUGAUAUUUUAAUUAUAUAUUAUAUUUAAUCUUUGAGAUUCUUGAUAAAUAUUUUAGUUUUAAUUCUUUAAAUAAAGUUUUAAGAUUUUAUAAAUAUAAUCUAUUUUAAUAUUUGUAUAUGCUAUUCGAAAGAUGAAGGUUUAUUUAUUUAUUUAUAAUCAAUUGAUAAAAAUUGAUUUAUGAGAUUUCUUUCUCUUCUUUUCACACAAUUAUUUUAUAAAUUUUGGUUAAAGUUAUUAUUAAAUUAAAAUUAUAGACUUACAACUUUUUUGUAAUUGAAGAAUUCUAAUUAGGUUGUAUAAUUGGUUUUGAAAGUUAAUUCACUUGAUAAUCGAAUAAAUGAAUGUUGGUAAGAUAUAUUUUUUUUUCGCACUAUUUGUUUCAAAUUUUCUGUUUGUAGUUGAAUAUAUAUGGAAUCAUCAUCCUUUAUCUUUAUUUAUGAUGGAUUAUAUUCACCAUUGAAUUCAAUUCAUAUAUACAAAUGAUUACUUUUGGUUUCUUUUAUAAUUAUUUUAUGUAAGUUUUAGUCUUUAUGGAAUCUGGCUAAAAUUAAAAUAUUUGGGAUUAAUUUUUUAAAUAUGGUGGCUAUGAAUUUUCAUAGGUAGUUGCGCAUAUAAAGACCUUUAUAUAAUUUGAGAUUUUUUUUAUAUUUUGUGGUUAUAGAAUUUUUUUUCGUAUUUGUGCGUAUAAAGAAGUUUUAUGAUAAUGUCUUUAGUCAUGAAUAUAAAUUUGAGUUUACAUGAAAUAUGUAAGCCAAGUUAGUAUUAUUUUUAUAUUUGUGUGUAUAUAUAUAUUAUAUGCAUAUCAAUGAUUUUAAUGAUUAAUGUAUGAUUAUAGUUUGUGUGAACAUGUGUUUAUAACCAUUAUUCAAUAAGAUAUCUUUUAUAGUUUAAUUGGUGAAAUUAAGUUUUGAUGGAUAUCAUUGAAGUUAAUUUUUUUUUUGUUAUGGCUAUAUAUUCAAUUUUAUGGGUACUUUGGUGCAAAUUCAUGUCAACUAUAUACAUAUUUAAAUAUUUUGGUUUUAAAUUUGGUUAUAUAAUCUUAGGUUUUGGCAUCUUAUGGUUCCAAAUAUUUGGUUUAAUUAUGAUGAUAUGGUUUAUUGUAUGAAUUGUGGGAUAUGCCAACUAUUAUGAUUUUGUUUUUUGAGAUUUAUUGGCUUGAAAAUAUUUUUCAAGUAUUUAUGUGAAUAUCUGUUUAAUCAUAAAUACAACUUUGGAUUUACAUGAUAAAUUCAUGGUAAGUUUUUCUAUUUGAUUAUGAAUACAUGUAUAUGCGUGAAUUACUUUGGUGUUUUUAUCCAUGCCAAAAUUACGAAUACAUGUGCUUGUUAAUUAUUUGGCUUUGAACCACUAUAUUAUUUCUGUUUGGUUUUGAUAUAUAUGAUUUUGGAACAAAAAAAAGAAAGAAGAAAUAGUCAAAAAAUGAAGGUUUUCGAUUUUUUAUUGCAUUAUUAAGACGACCUUAUUUUGGAUUAUUUUAGAGUUUAUAAAGUAAUAAAAAAAAUAGUUUUGACAUUUGACUUUUGGAGAAAUUUAAAUUUGAAUGUUGGUAUAUUUAUAUAUAUAUUUUAAAAUAACUUAAUUGAAGCAAAAAGUCACCAAAGUGAUUUUUUUCUAUAAACUAUUUUGUUUUAAAAUAUAAAAGUUUGCGUGCAUGUAACUUAAGUUAUAUUAAUAUUGAUUGGCCCAAAUGAAGGUUAAUAAUAUUACAUGUGCAACUAUGGUGAUAAAUAUGUGAUGGUUAUUCGGUUUUACAUGUGAGUAAUAAAUUAGCCCAAAGGAAGAUUUAUUAUUCGACAUGUUCUUAUUGUCAAUAUUUGAUUACUCCACCAAGAUAUCACUUACAAGUUAAUAUUUUGUCCAAAGAUGAAAUAUUAAUGGAGUAUCCGAUAUCUUGAUAUGAAGUUUUCAUUUAUUCAAAUUAUUUUAGUUUAAAUUUAAAGUCUUAUGUGAUGUUAUUUUGAUUUAUUCAGCUAUUAUUAUAUUUGCCAACAUCACUGUAUGUUGUUUUGGGAUAAAUAUAUAUAAAUAUAUAUUAUUAUCUUUUAAUUUGGUUGAAAGAUGAAAUUAAGAUAAAUAUUUUGAAACAAAUAAAUUCAGAUUUUGGCUUUUAAUUAAGGAUGUCUAAUAUUUUAAAUAAAUUAGUUGAAACAAAAUGCCGCCAAAGUGACCUCUUUUGUGUAGAUUAGUUUAUUUGAAAUAUUAAGAUGAUUAUAUGUUUUUGUGAUUCAUGCAUUUAUUAAUUGAUUCCAAAGGUAAGUUAAUAUUUGGCAGAAUUACAACGACAUCUGUAGUGAUAAAUGUGUGGCAAUUAUAAGGUAUUUUAUGAGUAAUAAGUUAGUCCAAAGAUUAAUUCAUUGUUUGACAUAUUUUAUUGUCAAUGUUUGAUUACUACAACAAGAGUUCCGCUUACUGUUAAUAUUACUGUCCAAAGACUUGAUAUUAAUGUUGUGUUUGGUAUCUUGAGACGGGAUUAGCCAUUAUCCUGAAUUUAUUGUUUACUUAUAAAUAUUGAUGUAAGCUUUUUAUUUAUUUUUUGUUCUAUAUUCAGCUAAUUCAUAAUCUACUGCCACAAUAUCUGCUAAUAUAAAUUCUAUACCCAUGCUUAAGGGGACUAAUUUUAAGGAAUGGAAAAGGCACUUACUUAUAGUGCUUGGUUGUAUGGACAUAGACCUUGCACUAAGGGAAAAACAACUUGCACAUCUCACUGCGGAAAACACCCCUUAUAUUAAGAGAGAUUUUGAGAGGUGGGAUCCGUUCAAAUUACAUUAGUCUAAUGAUCAUGAAGCACAACAUUUUAGAAGCCUUUAGGGGUAUAGAAUCUGAAAAGAUUACUUAGGCCAAGGUAUCCUUGACGAAAUUGAAAAACGUUUUGCUAAAAACGAUAAAGUUAAAAUGACAUCAUUUCUAACUUCUUUGAUGUCUUUAAAGUAUAAGGGUCAAGGAAAUACUGAGUGAUCUAAGGGCUAUGAAUUUUAUGAUCCCACAAUUAAGAAUAUUUUUGAGACGAGAAUUGCAACAUUCUUUUAGGAUGUUGAGUUUGGAGGGAGAAAUAAGGUUAGAGACAUUGUUUUUAAGGAGGAAUUGAACUUUAACUCAGUUCCUACUAUCACUUUUGAUGAUGUUUAGGUUCUCAUACCUAUCAUUGAUUAAGAAGUGAAUCUAGAACCUCAAUAAGACAAUGUUAAACAACUCCCUAUUCAAGAUGAGGUAAUUAUUCUAGAAGAACAAACUCAACAACCUCAAGAAUAAAUGUUAUUAAAAAUGUCCACUAGGGAAAGGGUUAUAAUGGCUUUAGUGGAAUAUUUUGGCAUUAAGCUACAUCAGAUGAAUAUUAAGUUAAUGGUUUCUCAAUGGUAACAUUGAUCAUACAUUUAUAUGGUGCAAUUAAAAAACUUUGUGUCUGAUGAUGUAAAGGUAAUGAUUUGCAGAUUAAAGAACUUCAUCUAUGGGUUUUAGUAGACUUCUCGUCAAUAAUAUUACAAAAUUUACGAAAUGAUUAUCUCAUUCGAUUUAGAGAUGAAUUUUUUUGAUAAUCGUAUAUACUAUAAGUUUAGUGGGAGUAAGGUUCUAUAUUUGAUUUUAUAUGUUAAUGGCAUACAGCUUGUCAAUAAUAAGUAUAGCUUCAAUCAAUGCCCUAAGAAUGAUUUUGAGAUUACAAAAAUGCAUAAGAUUUUUUACAUUUUAGCAAUGGAAAAUCUAGUGUACAUUCAAGUUUAUAUACAUUGGAAUAUUGUGUAUAUUAUUGGGAUGUUAGACAGAUAUUUUAAGCAACCCUGGUUUGGACCAUUGGAUAGCAUCCAAAAGGGUUAUAAGGUAUUUUUAGAGAACAAAAGAUUACAGGCUCACAUAUCGGAGAUCUAAUUAGUUAGAGAUCAUCAGGUAUAUAAACUCCGAUUUUGAUGGAAUAUGGAUACAAGAUUUUGUCACUAAGGUGCAAAUUGUGAAAACAAAUUGCAAUCUUUUAUUCCAAUAGCAACAGGAGCACAUUAAAGUCAAAACAUAUAGACUUUAAGUUCCUGGUUGUUAAAGUAAAAGUUCAGAGUGGUUAGGUGCUUAUAAAAUAUAUUACGACAAACUCCAUGAUUGCGGAUCCGCUUACUAAAGAACUACACCUAAGGUUUUAUAAGAGCAUAUUGCUCAUAUGGGUGUAAUGUCAUUUAAAAGAUAUUUGGUUUUAGUAGGAGUUUGUAUUUUUAAAUGCUUUUCUGUUAUAGACACAUUUUCAGUUAUUUCAGUUUAAAGAUAAUAAGUUUAUUUUCUGCAGAAAUAAAGUUUAUUUGGUUUAUUCACACUCUGAUUUUGGUAAGGUUUGAUCUCACUAAAGAGGACCAGUUGGAAAUAGACAUGUUUAGAUUAUAUUGCAUGUAAUUUCCAUGCUACACAUCCAUACUUGAUCUAUGUCAUUUGGUUGUGUUAAUAUACGUGAUCAUGGAUGGAUUUAGUUAUGAUAUAUGUAACGAAAGUCGCAUUGGUUCUAUGUUAACAUAAUUAAUGGACGAGAUUGUUCGGAAUACCUUUUGGAUAUGAUCGUAAAAUUUUGAGCUCAUAAGGUUAUAUAAUGACAUGUAAUUAUAGAGUAAUUAGUAUAUAUAUGUGGUCCAAGUGGGAGAUUGUUGGAAAAUAUAGACAUCACAUAUAUAAUAAGGGUAAUUACAUGUUAUUAUUUACUAUCAUGAUAGGUUAGCCCAAAUUAAAAGUGAUCUAAUUUGGUUAAAAUUUUAUUGGGCUUUAACUAUUAAAUAAAGUAUAGGUCAAAUAUGUGUAGAUACUUUAGUAAUUGAGUUCUAAUCAAAUUCUAAUUAAUGAUGGGCUAAUUAGAAUUUGAUCAGAAUCAAUAUGCCAAGAUUAUAAAUAUUAGGGUUAUGGUCCUCAAAUUACACACAAGAUAUCUUUUCUAAUAUCCUAUCAUUAGGAAAGAGAGAGCAGAUAUUCUUUGAAUUUCUUGUGUGCUAAUUUGGAAGAUCAAAUCCCCAAGAUCGGGUAAAACUUCAAGAAAUUCAUGGAUUCAAGUAUGUUUCCGCAUCUAGUUUUGUUCUUGAUUUAUUCUUGAUGAUUAGACAUGAUAGAUCCUGGUUUACAGUUCUAAUUUUAUAUUAGAUAUUAUUUAAAAUUCUAACAUUUCAGGCUUUAUUUAUGCUUGUUUUAGUCCUUCCAUAGCUGAAGCUUGAAACUUUUGCCAUUAGGGAGGGCCUUGUCAUGGUUAAAAUCUUUUGCCUUCAAUAAUGUUAUAGUUGAGUUGGAUUGCCUGCUUGUAAUUUUGGAUUUUUCAUGCCUAUCAUCUAAUUUUUCUGAACUAGGUGUGUUGUUACGUGUUUGUUUACUGAUGAAGAAUAAGUUUCAACACAUGUCCUUUUGUUGAACUUAUUGAUGUGCCAACAAGACGGUUCAUUCCUUAGCUUGAGCGACAUUAUUAUAUGCAAACCACAUAGAAUGGGAUGGCUUUCCCACUAUUUCUUUUAAAGGAAAUUUUUUGUCUGUAAUUGAAGAUAGCUUGGUUGGGAAGUACGAAUAAUAGGUUCAAGUGUGUAGCGUGAGCCUGCUGGCUCGAGUUUUAAUAAAGUAUCACACACAUAAUUUUUGUUCUUAAGUUCAUUUAAUUCAUACAAAAUUCCUUUGAUUCUUUUAAUUUUCACCAAAACUAAAUUUGUUUAAUUCCAACUAAAUUCAGACAUGGUAAUUAAUGUAACAUGUGCACAUGGUAUAUUAAUAAUUUUUAAAAAUGUUUGAAUUUCUUUCUUUGUACACGCUUCAAAAGAAAAAAAAGAAAAGAUAAGAGCUAAUUCUAUAAUAAGAAAAAAAUUGUAAAAUGUUGAUUUAGAUAAUUUUAUGUUUUAGAAAGUAAAUAAUAAAAUUUUGUAAUAUAACCAAAUGAAAAUAUGAUAAUUUACUAAAUGAUUUUAUAUUAUGAUAUUUUUAUUAUAAGAGUAAUAUUACAUUUGAUAAAUUAAAUGGAUGUGGUUGAAGAUGUGAGUAUGAUUGAAUGUUAGUGAGAGUUAAAAAGCGAAAAUGUAAUCAAAGGGUAAACUGUGGCAGACAUAUCAGCAAAACUUCCAUUCAUCCCCAAUAAAUCACGAGACUAUGUCUGCCUUAGUAAAGUAUCCACAUAAGCCCAAUGAAAGAAUUGCAAUAAGCCCAAUUGGAGCAAUCUUGGUCUAAAACCAAGUUUCAUUGCCAGUUGUAUUAUUAUGGUAAUGUAAUGUACCAAAUAAUUAAAUAGUGCAAGUAGAUAUGAUAAGCUGUACUUUUUUUGAGUGUGGGUAAGGAACUUUAAACAAUUUCUCUUAGCCAUAAAUAUGAAAUUAAAUUAUUUUACAUGUUUAGCCUUUCAUAUCUGUUUGCUUCCAAAAACAACUCAUUCGUAUCUUGGUGAAAAUUGACUGAUCCUAUUGUACCACACGGGUCAUGUAACCAACAAUCAGCCAUCAGCGGUAAGAGAGGACAUGUGACGCGGCGGUGCUACUAGUAAGUCAGUGGGUUGAAUGUGGAUCGGCCAGUAGAAGUGAUUGUGGAAAGAUCCGAGUAGGAUGAAACUUGAAAGUGAUGGCAGGCUUAGGUAAAACAAAGUUGAGCGCAAGAACAAAAGGUUCAAUGGCUUCCUCAAGCCAUGCACGUCAGGACAAUAGAUUAAAGAAAAAUAGCAAGUAUCUGAUUCAGAUCGGAUCAGAUUAUAAAAUUAACAAUCUCACAUGCCUAAUCACUAAAACAAAUCUUCAAAGCUCAAAAAGAAAAGACACAUGAAUUAGUAGAAAAAUUAAGGACUCGACGAUGCACUGUAAGUUGGCAAAUGACAACAGUAAAAUUAAGAUAAAUUAUAAGGAAAAAGAAGAAAGGAUUCAAGCCGCUGACAGCCCUCAAAUCGGUAGCGGCGAAAACAAAUCUUUGUUAUUCCUCAUUGGCCAACAAAUGAAACAAACCAGAAAAGAUUGAUUGGAGAUAGUGUUAUUGUUUUUAAUCUUUCUAAUCAUUUAUUGUAACACUGAAUUUUAUAAAGCAAGAUGAGGCACUUCCUUCAAUGAUGCUAAGCAUGAAGUAGACAAUGAUUUCUGUCAAAACUCAGCUAAUUAUGAAUGCAAAUUGUAUUUAUUGAAAACCAAGUGGGUGGUGACCCGUGGAGCCAGGUGAUAUUGAGCCUCUCUCUUCCUACUCUACGACUCUUUCAUAGUUUCUGUUUUGGAUACUUUGUUUUACAUUCAAUCCUCCUUUCCACUUCGAUCAAAAUCUACCACCUACCUUUCAAUUCUAUCCUCACAGAGACCGAACACUUUCUCACCACUUUAUCUAGAUGUAUGGACUCGUAUGCUCUUCCAACUUGUGGUUCUACCCCUAACUUCAUCUGAUCUGUUAUUCACCUUUUAUCAGGUAUGUUUAAAGAAGUUCAAUUUUAUGAUAAAAUAAAAGAUUUUGUUGGGGAUCUUCUACAUCACUGUUUAUGUAUUUUUGGGGGGGUUGGAUCUGUUGUUGCAGAAAUGUCGGGUAGGUCUUUUUUGCGGGGUACUGAGAGCAAAGAAAGGCUGCUUCCAAGGAAAGGGUAUUCGGAAUUUGGUUUCAACAGCUCGGAUGUUUCCGAGGAUCGAGUUAAAUGCAGGUGUUUUCGAUCAUGUUGUGAUUCGAUUGAUAACUUCUGGAGUGGAUUGCAAGGACUCUUUGUCAAGUUAUAUGAAAUGGGUCGAUCAGAUCCCCGCAAGGUGAUUUUUGCAACGAAAAUGGGGUUUUCGCUAAUGUCUAUAUCAUUGCUUAUGCUUUUCAAAGAGCCUCUAAAGGAAACUAGUCAAUAUUCUAUCUGGGCAAUUCUUACUGUAGUCGUGGUUUUCGAAUUCAGCGUAGGUAUAUGAUCCAAUAUUCAUGAUGCCCCAUUUCUGCUACAAUCCAGACUGCCUGCUAUUUUAGUUCCUUUUAACAAUUUCUAUAUUAUAGGUGCAACACUUAACAAAGGGUUCAAUCGAGCUAUAGGGACUUUCUCUGCUGGAGCCCUUGCUUUAGGCAUUGCACAAGUAUCAACAUUGUCUGGGAAGUAUGAAGAAAUUAUUAUUUUGAUAAGCAUUUUCAUAGCAGGUUGGAGUUCUAGCAGUUAAUACUAUAUAAAUAUUUACAUAUGAGAAUUCUUGGGUAUUGUGUUCAUUCAACUUUAUAAAAUAUAAAAUUUCAUUCUGCUUUAGGAUUUGCUGCUAGCUAUUGCAAAUUGUACCCUCCCUUGAAGACAUAUGAAUAUGGUUUUCGGGUAUUCUUGUUGACAUUUUGUAUUGUACUGGUGUCUGGGAACAACUCAAGAACCUUCUUCAGAACUGCUUUUUACCGGUUGUUGCUUAUCUUCAUUGGUGCUGGCCUGUGUUUGAUUAUAAAUAUAUGUAUAUACCCCAUAUGGUCCGGAGAGGAUUUGCAUAAAUUGGUGGUUAAAAAUUUCAAGAAUGUGGCUUCUUCCUUGGAAGGUUAGCUUUACUUUUCAAGUAGUGCUCUCUGAGUAGUUUCUCAUUGGAAUUCCUUGAUUUACUGUGCUAGAUUGAUCAAUCAUAACCUUGAACUUUCAUUUUUAGGCUGUGUUAAUGGAUAUCUGCAAUGUGUUGAAUAUGAGAGGAUCCCUUCCAAAAUUCUCACUUACCAAGCAUCUGAUGAUCCUUUGUAUAGUGCUUACAGAUCAGUUGUGCAGUCUUCAAGCCAAGAGGAUACUCUGGUAUGUUUCACAUGCCUUCAUCCUGUCUUCCUUUAUCUCCAAGAAUGUAGGAGUUCUUUUCUUUGUUUAAUGUACUUCAUUUUUCCAGCUAGAUUUUGCCUUAUGGGAGCCUCCACACGGUCCUUAUAGAUCAUUCAACUACCCAUGGAGAAACUAUGUCAAAGUAAGUGGUGCAUUGAGACAUUGUGCAUUCAUGGUCAUGGCAAUGCAUGGAUGUAUACUUUCAGAAAUUCAGGUGAGAACACCAUCUCCUUUCAUAUCUUCAAAGAAAUUAUUUAUACCGAAUGCAUGAUUUUAUCAUUAUAUACAUCUAUAAAUCAAAAUCUAUCUGAUCCACUCCUCCUAGACCUCUCUUUUUCCAAAGCAUGAAAAUAGGUUGCCAGACUUUCCUUUCUGCAUCAGUCACUUAUUUACAGGAACCCCUACCCGACAGCUGUAAAGUGCCUAUAUAUCAUAUAAUCAUAUAUGAUAGGUCCUCUCAGGAUCAUGCCUGAUUUUAUAACUUUGUCAAAAAGGAAGACAGCAAGACCCCAUUAUCUUUGGCUGAGCCUAAACAGAAAAGAACACAUUGGCAAUCGUUCCACUUAUGCAAUGAUACAAUGUUCUCUUUAUUUUACUUUUCCUGUUUAUUCCAACACCGGAAUUCAUCAUAUCAUGUAUUCAUGUCUUCAAUAUUAGGUUUCCACUUACGCAAUGACUUUAAGUUGUCUUUAUUUUACUUUUCCUGUUUAUUUCAACUCUGGCAUUUGUAAUUUUUAUGUCUUCAACUUGAUGAUAAGAACCAAAAUUGUAAUGUUAAUAGUAAAAGAAAUAGUUCCUCAAGGCCAUGAAAGAAACCUCUGCUAGAAGUUGACUUGCAUUGCUGAUUUGAUAUUGGCAAAUUUACAUAGCUCGAUAUGUUAGCUGCAUAAUCAGAUUUUAUGAAUUUCUCUACAUGCAGGCACCAGCAGAGAAGAGACACGUGUUUGCUCUUGAGCUGCAGAGGGCUGGUAAUGCAGGAGCUAAAGUGCUACGUGAGCUGGGACAGAAAGUUGAAAAGAUGGAAAAGUUAAGCCCCGGAGACAUACUGAGGGAAGUACACGAGGCAGGAGAGGAUUUGCAAAUGAAGAUAGACGAAAAGUCAUACCUUCUAGUCAAUUCAGAAAGCUGGGCAACUGCACCGCCUCACAGGGAAUUGGAAGAAUCUGGGAGCAUGGCUGAUGUUAAAGACAAUGAGCAUAAAGUGAUAAAAUCCCUGAGCGAUAUGUGGGAAGUUCAGCACACGAUUGAUCCUCGUGCGCCGGACUUAAUUACCUCGGAGAGCAUGCUCCAGAAACCAUCAUGGCCCCGUCUCUCGUUUACUGCAGAAGCAUUGCUACAGCAACAGGAAUCUAAAAUAUAUGAAAGUGCUAGUGCUUUAUCCUUAGCAACGUUCGCAUCACUAUUGAUUGAGUUUGUUGCAA
This 27274-nucleotide long non-coding RNA is filed under the name Gossypium barbadense (sea-island cotton). Its description in RNAcentral is "long non-coding RNA (GBAR_LNC011827)". The record is from RNAcentral. Lineage: Eukaryota; Viridiplantae; Streptophyta; Magnoliopsida; Malvales; Malvaceae.